GAGUUAGAGAUAGGGAGGGCCGGCCCCUGGCUUUAGGGGUGGGGAGGAAGUGGGCAGUUGAGGGACUCAGGGGAGGCAGGCGGGAGGAGACAAGCUAGAUAGGCCCAGUAGGGUGGGAUUGCCAGGAGAAGGGGGCCUAAGAGAGGGGACUAGAUACUGGGAGGACUGCUGCUGGGAAGGCGGCACUGAAAAUGCCCAGAGCAACCCAUGGGGAGGGCAGCAUUACUCCAGUCCAGGCUGUCCCUGCUGCCUGUUGGACACGGGGACUUGAUCUCCAGGAGGAGGCUCUUUCGUGGGCCGAGCUGACCCUAGUCUCCUGGGUUUAUGUACAGAAAGGAAAGGCUGAGGUGGGAAGAUGGAGAGGAGAUAGAGACAGGUGGAAUUGGUUGGUUGAUACCGUUGUAGUGAUCGUGGAAGGCAGGGAGUGAGUUCGGGGAGGGCCGACUUUGAACUUGUCAGUACCGGCAGCUCCCCUUUUUUUUCCAGACAAAGGGGUGUGAACCUACCUGGGGAUGAGGCCUGGUCUUGUGGAAACUGGACUUAGCUUCGCGGGGCAGACAGCUCUGGCCCAGGGUGGUAGGUAAUGUGGAUUCAGCCUGGUGGAGCCCAGGUCUGGGUGUGAGGUAAGGCCUCAGUUGGAAGAGAGGGGAGGCCUGAGGAGCGACUACAGAGGCAAGGAGCCAUCCUCACUUGUGGCUAGUGUGGCACCUGUUUGGCAGGGUGGGGCUGCUGAGGCAGGAUGCUUGUGUCUGAGGGCAACAUUGACGGACCUUUAUUUUCCAGGUUAUAGUGGCCUCCACUGGACUUUCCCUAGGUUCCAUGCUAAUCUCUUCUGUGAGCUCACUCUACCCCUCCUCCUCCUCCCUCUUAACUCUGAGGUUGUCCCUUCACUUAAACCUGACGUCUGGUGGUAAGCCUGGGGAACUCGCUGGAUGUGCUGUUGGAGUCGGUACCUUUGGUAAUGGUGGAAGAGAAAAGGCCCACUCCCGCUGAGACUCCCGUGUUCAUCAUGGCGAGCAGAUGGCACCAGGAGAAAUGGAGCCCCUGCCAGUGUGAGUCGUAGCAGUACAGGAGGGGAGACCUUGAAGGAGACAGCCUGAUUAAAUUGAAGCCGGCAGAUUGAAUUCCAGAGGCUUGGGAGCAGUUCUCCAGUGCCAUCUGUCCAGGCCUCGUUCGGGAAGUCCUGUAUUCAGGAGGCCGCCAUUAAAGUUUUCAGAUGAGCUUAUGCGGGGGGGGGAGUCCAAAAAUCCAAAGCAGAUGCAUCCAGCUUGAGGGGCCAUCAGCUUUGAAUAAAAGUCUGUUCCAGGAGCACCGUCCUCAGGGCACGUGAAUGCCAGGCACCCCUUGUUUCCUGGGGAUAGGUUUUCAGAUGCUGCAACUUCUAAAUUGAGCCUCAAAUCAUUCUAGUUCUGUGCUACGAACCUUGCUUCAAGAAGAUUAAGCUGUAGAACGUUUUAACGAUGCCACAACGAAGAGUGAUGCCUUGUAGAUGGCGCUUGCAGAUGGAGCCCAGUGACUUCUCACCUACCCUCCUCCUUGCCUCCCUGCUUGUACGCUGGCCAGAGGAAUUCUUAGCGUGAUGAUAAAACUCUUGGGUGUUGGGGGGAAGCUGUUCGAUUUUAAAUGUCCUAGUGGGUGUAUGUAAGAUGAGGCAAAUUGGUGGCGGCGGGGUGUGUGUGUAAGUGUUGUGCUGAAGUUUGGGCUGGUACAAGCUGAUCACGAGCCCAAGUGCUGGGUAUUUAUUGCAAGUGGUGUUAUCUAGUUUGGACAUUCUGAUGGCAUCGCAGAUCCCUGGGAAGGGAAUGGAUGGUGGGUGUACCGAUAGUAUUGUGUACUGGCAAUGGUACUUAACUGAUGCUUACGAAGCAAGUUCUGCCACUGAGCUAUGCUCCCAGUCCAGAUCUUUGAUUCUUCUUACUCCAUUUAUUUAAACUUGAUUUUUACAUGGCGUUCCAUCGGGGAGGGGGAGUUUCUGAGGUGGGGAUGGAUGGGAAAGAAAACUGAGAGGGAAAAGGGUGGGGGAUACAGCACAGAGGGUGAGAGGUUGGGAAUGUGGCUUGAAGGAGUUGAGAGUGUGGGUGGGACAAUUUAAUAGAACUUCUGAGCGAAGAAAAUAGUUAAUGAUAAAUUGUUAAUGCUGGUUAAAUUGUUGCUUAGAUGCGAUAAAUAUUGCUUAGAAACUGUAAAAGUGCUUAGAACUUGAAGAUCAAGGAAAAAAGCAAAAUUGUUUUGCUUUGCUGAAAAGUGAAGAGAAUUGAAAAGGUUACUAAAAUCCUGAAUAUUUAGUCAUUUGAAAAAUGGUGUCAAACUUACAGCCAGGUGUUUUAUCUGAAGCUGUAGAGGUGUGUGAUUUUUUUUUUUUUUCAAGAGUAAUUUAGGAAAAACUUCUAAAUGCCUAAAUUGUGGGCUUUUAAAGCUUAAGUGUGCCCCUGAGAAUAAAUGGGUUCUUCUGGGCUUAUAAUUCAUAUUUAGUCACUGAGAUCAUUUAUGAUUGAAAAUUCUGAGCAUAGUGCAAAUGUGAUGCCUUCUAAAGAGAUUUCAUGUAUAAGUUGUGUUAUAAAACAUACGUCUGUGAUAGGUCAGUAAUUAUAACAGCAAAACUAUUGCUUGCUUAGUAUUAUCUUUUCCAGUCCGAGGAACCAAUUACCUUUAUGGUCACUGAAAUGACUGUGGUAUUUGGUAGCAAACAAUCCAUAUAUCUUGGCCAGGGUUACACUGAAUAAUAUAUUGCAUCUUUAGUUUGAAUCUGCUAUUUAAGUGAUCCAGGACUAGAGGGGAAACUCAAAAUCCUUUGGGGAAAAAGUAAAACUGAGUAGGGCAUACCUUACUAGAUAUGGUCUGUAAAAAUUUAGAGACUGAAAAGCAUAUUUGUUUUUGACCUGCUUCUGUUUAGUUGGUACAGUAGUAUCAGUGGAUUUUAAAUGUCUCUUUAAUUUCACCUUUAUAAAUUUAAACCCUCAAUACCUUUAUGCUUGACAUUUUUCUGUUUUGGGGUUCCUUUUUUAAAAUGCAUAAUAUGUUGGUGUGGUAGUUUAGUUCCUAACGAGUGACUUGGGUCACUAUCAGAACUUAAUGCAUAUUAGUCAUGCUUGUAUGGGGAUAUAUUUUCGGGUAUACUGUUGUGAAAUGGAAACUGUAAAAGCAAGUGGUUAAAAGUACUUGUUUAUUGCUCUGUAAGGUAAGGACUUUUGUUGCAUCAUGUAUGUAAUUACUAAUUUUUCUUCCACUUCACAGCAUAAAUAAAGGUUUGAGUUCUAAGCUUCUUAGAA
Heterocephalus glaber (naked mole-rat) is the source of this 3269-nucleotide non-coding RNA. The record is from RefSeq and is a predicted model, not a curated record. NCBI's taxonomy places the organism in Eukaryota, Metazoa, Chordata, Mammalia, Rodentia, Bathyergidae.